AGUGAACGCUGGCGGUAGGCCUAACACAUGCAAGUCGAACGGCAGCACAGUAAGAGCUUGCUCUUACGGGUGGCGAGUGGCGGACGGGUGAGGAAUACAUCGGAAUCUACUUUUUCGUGGGGGAUAACGUAGGGAAACUUACGCUAAUACCGCAUACGACCUACGGGUGAAAGCAGGGGAUCUUCGGACCUUGCGCGAUUGAAUGAGCCGAUGUCGGAUUAGCUAGUUGGCGGGGUAAAGGCCCACCAAGGCGACGAUCCGUAGCUGGUCUGAGAGGAUGAUCAGCCACACUGGAACUGAGACACGGUCCAGACUCCUCAGGGAGGCAGCAGUGGGGAAUAUUGGACACUGGGCGCAAGCCUGAUCCAGCCAUACCGCGUGGGUGAAGAAGGCCUUCGGGUUGUAAAGCCCUUUUGUUGGGAAAGAAAAGCAGCAGGUUAAUACCCCGCUGUUCUGACGGUACCCAAAGAAUAAGCACCGGCUAACUUCGUG
RNAcentral lists this ribosomal RNA (492 nucleotides) under uncultured bacterium. Its description in RNAcentral is "partial 16S ribosomal RNA". It matches the Rfam family "Bacterial small subunit ribosomal RNA", at positions 29 to 507 of the family's 1533-position model. The record is from RNAcentral.